CCAUUACUGAUGAGUCUUAUAAUAGGACGAAACGAUCGUCCAGUGC
Molecule: non-coding RNA, 46 nt
Organism: Schistosoma mattheei
Lineage: Eukaryota; Metazoa; Platyhelminthes; Trematoda; Strigeidida; Schistosomatidae
Source: Rfam